This 218-nucleotide ribosomal RNA is filed under the name Nyssomyia flaviscutellata. Its description in RNAcentral is "partial 16S ribosomal RNA". The record is from RNAcentral. Lineage: Eukaryota; Metazoa; Arthropoda; Insecta; Diptera; Psychodidae.
GAUCUUUAUAAAUUAAAUAAUUAAAUAAAAAUUAGUUAAAUUAUUUUUUUAAUUGUUAAUUUAUUAUAUUGGGGUAAUAAUAAAAUUUUAUAAAUUUUUAUUUAUUUUAUUCAAUUAUAGUUGUUUAAUUGAUCUAGUAUUAUUGAUUAAAAAUUUAAGUUACCUUAGGGAUAACAGCGUAAUGAUUUUUGAGAGUUCUUAUCGAUAAAAUAGUUUGU